This 279-nucleotide long non-coding RNA is filed under the name Prunus persica (peach). RNAcentral's name for it is "long non-coding RNA (PPER_LNC005245)". The record is from RNAcentral. Lineage: Eukaryota; Viridiplantae; Streptophyta; Magnoliopsida; Rosales; Rosaceae.
AAGUGUUGGACUCAAUCCGAUAUCGAUUGGUCCAUGAAAUUGGACAAUUCAGGUUCGUACAAAGUUCGUUAUGAAAGGGAUUGGUUGGUGUAUUGCAUAGUUCUAGAGAUUGGAUUUCACUCAAAACCCGCCAAAUGACUCCUCCCACCAUAAUAUGAUAUUCCCCAAGUUUUGGACUCAAUCCGAUCCCUAUUAGUCCAUGAAAUUGGACAAUUUCGAUUCGUACGAAGUUCGCUAUGAAAAGGAGUGGUUAGUGUAUUGCAUAGUUGUAGCCUUUGG